AUGUUGCUGCGGUUAAAGGCUCGCAGUUGAAUGUCAGUUAAUAUACGCGUAGAGGUGCCGGGACGUUGCGAACUUUGGUUUUCGGAUCAUUGCGAGCCGUCUCUCCAAGUGCAUCUCUCGCGGGCUAACGAUUCGAUUAGCGGGUAAAGUGCUUCGGUACUUAGCCCGUUAGUUGACACCUUGAGUAAAUCAGAGUGCUUAAAGCAGUCGUUGCAACACUACGGCUGCGACUUACCCUCGCGGGCUUAGUCGUAUGUCUGGUGACGUCGAAAGACGUUUGGACAUUGUCUUUGCUUUGCAUGGUACGUCGGAAGACGCCGUGUGAGUUGGUUGUGCUUGCGGUGUGACACACCUCGUGUGUGCGCGCGCGCCAACGAGCACGGAAUGAAUCGAAAGGGAUGGAUCGAAGGCAUUGGUAUUGCGAGGCGAGAGGUGAAAUUCUAUGACCCUCGCAAGACUUCCCGAAGCGAAAGCGUCUGCCUAGGACGUCUUCAUUAAUCAUGAACGAAAGUUGAAGGAUCGAAGGCGAUCAGAUACCGCCCUAGUUGCAACUGUAAACGAUAUCAACCAUCAAUCCGUCAAAGCGUUCCCUUGCGUUCACGGAGUUGGGUUCGCCCGCUUCGUGGACUAAGUGUAAGCGCUCGAUGGGCAGCUCUUCUCGGACGGAAAACCAGAGUUUUUCGGUUCCGGGGGGAGUCUGGUUGCAAAGCUGAAACUUAAAGGAAUUGACGGAAAGGCACCACCAGGCGUGGAGCUUGCGGCUCAAUUUGACUCAACACGGGAAAUCUUACCAGACCCGAACAUCUUUGAUGAUUGACAGACUGAAAGCUCUUUCUUGAUAAAGUGGAUGGUGGUGCAUGGCCGUUCUUAGUUGGUGGAGUGAUCUGUCUGGUUAAUUCCGAUAACGAACGAGACUCUCCCCUGCUAACGGACUUCGGUCCUUUUAGACAGUGUGAUUCGGUGCAAGGACCCACGGGCGUAAGCUCCGGGACCGGACGAUGUCCACUGAUCCUUGGUGCGCUGUGGGUGUGCGCUUACGUGCGUGGCUUCGGUCGUGCGUGUUCGUGUGUGCUCGCGGCAAAGCGCUUCGGAGUACUUUUCUUCUUAGAGGGAUUGACGACACUUAAGUCGUAAGAAACAGGGAGCAAUAACAGGUCUGUGAUGCCCUUAGAUGUUCUGGGCUGCACGCGUGUUACAAUGCCGGUAUCAACGGGUUCUUACACUUCCAGUGGCCUACUCCGAAAGGAGCGGGUAAACCUGUGAAAUACCUUGUGCGCUUGUCUCACGAUAGUGCAAUUUCGGCAUGCUUGGGACUGGGGAUUGCAAUUAUUCCCCACAAACUAGGAAUGCCUAGUAGUAGCGAGUCACAGAGCUCGCUGCGACUCUGUCCCUGCCCUUUGUACACACCGCCCGUCGCUACUACCGAUUGAGUGUACCAGUGAGAUUUUUGGACUGGCGAACCGCAAACCUUCGGGUUAGCGGCGAACGACACGAAGAGACUCGAACUGGUGCACUAGAGAA
Molecule: ribosomal RNA, 1521 nt
Filed under: Primno evansi
Lineage: Eukaryota; Metazoa; Arthropoda; Malacostraca; Amphipoda; Phrosinidae
Description: bacterial SSU rRNA
Rfam family: Eukaryotic small subunit ribosomal RNA
Source: RNAcentral